GACGUGCGCAGGCGGUUAUGUAAGACAGAUGUGAAAUACCCCGGGCUCAACCUGGGAACUGCAUUAGUGACUGCAUAGCUGGAGUACGGCAGAGGGGGAUGGAAUUCCGCGUGUAGCAGUGAAAUGCGUAGAUAUGCGGAGGAACACCGAUGGCGAAGGCAAUCCCCUGGGCCUGUACUGACGCUCAUGCACGAAAGCGUGGGGAGCAAACAGGAUUAGAUACCCCCAGU
This 230-nucleotide ribosomal RNA is filed under the name uncultured bacterium. RNAcentral describes it as "partial 16S ribosomal RNA". It matches the Rfam family "Bacterial small subunit ribosomal RNA", at positions 567 to 794 of the family's 1533-position model. The record is from RNAcentral.